RNAcentral lists this ribosomal RNA (492 nucleotides) under uncultured bacterium. RNAcentral's name for it is "partial 16S ribosomal RNA". It matches the Rfam family "Bacterial small subunit ribosomal RNA", at positions 29 to 507 of the family's 1533-position model. The record is from RNAcentral.
AGUGAACGCUGGCGGUAGGCCUAACACAUGCAAGUCGAACGGCAGCACAGUAAGAGCUUGCUCUUACGGGUGGCGAGUGGCGGACGGGUGAGGAAUACAUCGGAAUCUACUUUUUCGUGGGGGAUAACGUAGGGAAACUUACGCUAAUACCGCAUACGACCUACGGGUGAAAGCAGGGGAUCUUCGGACCUUGCGCGAUUGAAUGAGCCGAUGUCGGAUUAGCUAGUUGGCGGGGUAAAGGCCCACCAAGGCGACGAUCCGUAGCUGGUCUGAGAGGAUGAUCAGCCACACUGGAACUGAGACACGGUCCAGACUCCUACGGGAGGCAGCAGUGGGGAAUAUUGGACAAUGGGCGCAAGCCUGAUCCAGCCAUACCGCGUGGGUGGAGAAGGCCUUCGGGUUGUAAAGCCCUUUUGUUGGGAAAGAAAAACAGCAGGUUAAUACCCCGCUGUUCUGACGGUACCCAAAGAAUAAGCACCGGCUAACUUCGUG